CCUACGGGUGGCAGCAGUGGGGAAUAUUGCGCAAUGGGCGAAAGCCUGACGCAGCGACGCCGCGUGAGGGAUGAAGGUCUUCGGAUCGUAAACCUCUGUCAGCAGGGAAGAACGGUCCCUGUCCUAAUCACCAGUGAAUUGACGCUACCUGCAAAGGCAGCACCGGCUAACUCCGUGCCAGCAGCCGCGGCAAUACGGAGGGUGCGAGCGUGAAUCGGAAUUACUGGGCGUAAAGCGCUCGUAGGCGGUAUGUCAAGUCCAGGGUGCAAUCCCCGCGCUCAACGUGGGAAUUGCCUUUGAAACUGGCAGACUGGAGUGUGUGAGAGGAUAGUGGAAUUCCCGGGGGAGGAGUGAAAUGCGUAGAUA
RNAcentral lists this ribosomal RNA (366 nucleotides) under uncultured bacterium. RNAcentral describes it as "partial 16S ribosomal RNA". It matches the Rfam family "Bacterial small subunit ribosomal RNA", at positions 338 to 696 of the family's 1533-position model. The record is from RNAcentral.